Non-coding RNA from Chelonoidis abingdonii (Abingdon island giant tortoise), 239 nucleotides. NCBI's taxonomy places the organism in Eukaryota, Metazoa, Chordata, Testudines, Testudinidae. The record is from RefSeq and is a predicted model, not a curated record.
CGGGCCCUGCUCCUGUUGGAGCCGCCCCGGGUUGUGUCCGCACCGCUGCAGCUUCCAGGUGUCUGACUGAUAUCAGGGCUCUUAUUGUACUGAGCAUGGCCCUGUUCUGCCAGGCGCUGCAGAGACUCCAGGUGAGAUCUAGGCCCUGUUCUGCCAGGCGCUGAAGAGACCCCAGGCUACAGAUAACGUCCACGUUUUGCUCACAGAUAUUCCAUCCCCAGGGGGAAAAAAUGGCUGCA